Molecule: ribosomal RNA, 361 nt
Filed under: uncultured bacterium
Lineage: Bacteria
Description: bacterial SSU rRNA
Rfam family: Bacterial small subunit ribosomal RNA
Source: RNAcentral
ACUCCUACGGGAGGCAGCAGUGGGGAAUAUUGCACAAUGGGGGAAACCCUGAUGCAGCCAUGCCGCGUGUGUGAAGAAGGCCUUGGGUUGUAAAGCACUUUCAGUAGGGAGGAAGGUAGUGUAGUUAACACCUGCAUUAUUUGUACGUUACCUACAGAAGAAGCACCGGCUAACUCCGUGCCAGCAGCCGCGGUAAGUACGGAGGGUGCGAGCGUUAAUCGGAAUUACUGGGCGUAAAGCGCAUGCAGGCGGCCUGUUGAGUCAGAUGUGAAAGCCCGGGGCUUAACCGUCGGAAUUGCAUUUGAAACUGGGCAGGCUAGAGUCUUGGUAGAGGGGGUUAGGAAUUUCGUAGGUGGUUAGC